This 377-nucleotide ribosomal RNA is filed under the name Escherichia coli. Its description in RNAcentral is "bacterial SSU rRNA". It matches the Rfam family "Bacterial small subunit ribosomal RNA", at positions 808 to 1185 of the family's 1533-position model. The record is from RNAcentral. Lineage: Bacteria; Pseudomonadati; Pseudomonadota; Gammaproteobacteria; Enterobacterales; Enterobacteriaceae.
AAUGUCGACUUGGAGGUUGUGCCCUUGAGGCGUGGCUUCCGGAGCUAACGCGUUAAGUCGACCGCCUGGGGAGUACGGCCGCAAGGUUAAAACUCAAAUGAAUUGACGGGGGCCCGCACAAGCGGUGGAGCAUGUGGUUUAAUUCGAUGCAACGCGAAGAACCUUACCUGGUCUUGACAUCCACGGAAGUUUUCAGAGAUGAGAAUGUGCCUUCGGGAACCGUGAGACAGGUGCUGCAUGGCUGUCGUCAGCUCGUGUUGUGAAAUGUUGGGUUAAGUCCCGCAACGAGCGCAACCCUUAUCCUUUGUUGCCAGCGGUCCGGCCGGGAACUCAAAGGAGACUGCCAGUGAUAAACUGGAGGAAGGUGGGGAUGACGU